GCGCGCUGCUUCCGGUCUGGCCGGGCCCGGGCCUGGGCCUGGACUUCCUGCGGCGGGGGCGGCCCUGAGCCGGAUCCUGUAGUCCUGGGCGCUGCAGUUCCGUAGGCGCUUCGCUCCGGAAAGGGCGUCCGUGAACUCCUCACCCUGACAGCUGGGCCGCGGCCGCCUUUACACACGCCCUCCCCGUACUGGUGCGCCGUCGGCUAGGAAAGCGAACCCGGAAGGCCCCGACGCCCCGCGUGCCCUCCCGGGAUGGCCGCGGGCACUGCUUCUGGCCGCGCCGCGUCCCGUGCGCCGCCCCGUCGAGCCGCUGCAGCCUGUCUUCUGAGCUGUUAGGACAGCUGGUGUCGGAGCUGCAGAGCCCUUCGGGGGCAGCCGGAGGGGCGUUUCCCGUGGUUGCGCCUAGCUGUAAAUAGCAGAGCUGUGUUAAAGCAGUUUUCGUCCCCACACCCUAUGAUGACAGCCUCUUAGGCAGCACAGCCCCAAAUCAGGCGUAUUCCGGGGAGUCAGACCCAGGUGAACCUUCUCAUCAAAUACCAGACGCUGGCGGUAAUCUGCUCAGCUGCAUGACUUCAUUAAAUUGGCAUGGACCCUGAACUCUCUGAACAAGACGACGAGAAGAAGUACACUUCUGUCUGUGUUGGCAGAGAAGAUGACAUUAGAAAGUUGGAAAGAAUGACAGCUGUUGUCCAUGACAGAGAAGUGGUCAUUUUCUACCACAAAGGGGAAUAUCAUGCUAUGGACAUUCGUUGCUACCAUUCUGGAGGACCCUUACACUUGGGAGAAAUUGAGGAUUUCAAUGGACAUUCAUGUAUAGUUUGUCCCUGGCAUAAAUACAAAAUCACUUUGGCAACAGGAGAAGGAUUGUACCAGUCUAUAAACCCUAAAGACCCAUCAGCAAGACCCAAGUGGUGUUCCAAGGGAGUAAAGCAAAGGAUUCACACCGUGACGGUGGAUAAUGGCAAUAUUUAUGUGACGCUUUCUAAGGAACCUUUUAAAUGUGACUCUGAUUUUUAUGCCACUGGAGAGUUCAAAGUAAUUCAGAGUUCUUCCUGAUAAAAAAUAUAUGGCAGCAAAAAAUAGGACCUGUGUUUGGUUCCCAGCAUCUUUGGUGGCUUCUGGAGUCUUGACACUCUCUUCUGGCCCAGUUCGGCUGAUUGGUCAAACACAGAAUGUAAAACCUGGAUCUUGUUGCUCUGCUUGUUGGCAGGAGGCUUGCGGUGAGCUGAAAGGUUGUCUGGCUUCUCCGGCAAUGACCUGUAAGGUUUUGCUUUGAUUUCACCUUCAGAAAACAUCGGCUCUGGAAGCACAGGCUCGGAAAAGGCUUUCCUAAAAUUGUCACUCUCUCUAUUCUGCCUUAUGGAUUCUUCUUCUUGAAAAAUGUUCUUUAUCUUCACCAGCACAGCAUUAACACAGACUGCCUGUAUCAAUAAAAAAAAAAAUGUUGAAAA
Non-coding RNA from Peromyscus maniculatus bairdii (prairie deer mouse), 1451 nucleotides. The record is from RefSeq and is a predicted model, not a curated record. Lineage: Eukaryota; Metazoa; Chordata; Mammalia; Rodentia; Cricetidae.